Molecule: long non-coding RNA, 439 nt
Organism: Mastomys coucha (southern multimammate mouse)
Lineage: Eukaryota; Metazoa; Chordata; Mammalia; Rodentia; Muridae
Exons: 3
Source: RefSeq, a predicted model, not a curated record
GGCAAAGAAACCAGAUUCCAUUCAAACAUGAUGCCUUAGAGGACGUCCUUGUUCUCCUCAACACACAAUUCCAUUUGUGACUAGAAACAUCCUAGCCCCUGCAGCUGAGAGCUGGUAGGCCCUACAGCACCAUGGCGGGUGGCCUUGAAGUCUUCCAGCACUUGGAGGAGGUACCACUGGCAUACUGAAGGCAGAAGCCUGCAAUGCUGUAACCCAAAGCGGCCUUGUACCAGCACAGCGGAAUCACUGGAGCGGCGUGAAGAGGUGUGAGUUCUGGAGCAUCUGAUCAGCAACAUUGUAAGCGAGCGAGGGCUGUUGUUUAUUCUAGGUGAAGCUGUUGCUGCAUGCUGACUACUUCAGUUCACUGGUGACUAGCAACAGCAGGAAUGUAUGAGCUCCGUUCCACAAUUACUAAAACCACACAGGCAACUUUAAUAUA